ACUAAUCUGGUAGCUUCUGGUGCUAAUGAAUCUGAAAUCUACAUAUGGGAUCUAAAUAAUUUUGCAACCCCAAUGACACCAGGAGCCAAAACACAGCCGCCAGAAGAUAUCAGCUGCAUUGCAUGGAACAGACAAGUUCAGCAUAUUUUAGCAUCAGCCAGUCCCAGUGGCCGGGCCACUGUAUGGGAUCUUAGAAAAAAUGAGCCAAUCAUCAAAGUCAGUGACCAUAGUAACAGAAUGCAUUGUUCUGGGUUGGCAUGGCAUCCUGAUGUUGCUACUCAGAUGGUCCUUGCCUCCGAGGAUGACCGGUUACCAGUGAUCCAGAUGUGGGAUCUUCGAUUUGCUUCCUCUCCACUUCGUGUCCUGGAAAACCAUGCCAG
RNAcentral lists this non-coding RNA (380 nucleotides) under Homo sapiens (human). The record is from RNAcentral. Lineage: Eukaryota; Metazoa; Chordata; Mammalia; Primates; Hominidae.